Molecule: ribosomal RNA, 450 nt
Filed under: uncultured bacterium
Lineage: Bacteria
Description: bacterial SSU rRNA
Rfam family: Bacterial small subunit ribosomal RNA
Source: RNAcentral
CCAGACUCCUACGGGAGGCAGCAGUGGGGAAUAUUGGGCAAUGGGCGCAAGCCUGACCCAGCAACGCCGCGUGAAGGAAGAAGGCUUUCGGGUUGUAAACUUCUUUUCCCAGGGACGAAGCAAGUGACGGUACCUGAGGAAUAAGCCACGGCUAACUACGUGCCAGCAGCCGCGGUAAUACGUAGGUGGCAAGCGUUAUCCGGAUUUACUGGGUGUAAAGGGCGUGUAGGCGGGAAAGCAAGUCAGAUGUGAAAACCAUGGGCUCAACCUGUGGCCUGCAUUUGAAACUGUUUUUCUUGAGUACUGGAGAGGCAGACGGAAUUCCUAGUGUAGCGGUGAAAUGCGUAGAUAUCAGGAGGAACACCGGCGGCGAAGGCGGCCUGCUGGACCGUGACUGACGUUGAGGCUCGAGAGCGUGGGGAGCAAACAGGAUUAGAUACCCGAGUAGUA